This 130-nucleotide transfer RNA is filed under the name Aureobasidium namibiae CBS 147.97. It matches the Rfam family "tRNA". Rfam says of the family: Transfer RNA (tRNA) molecules are approximately 80 nucleotides in length. Their secondary structure includes four short double-helical elements and three loops (D, anti-codon, and T loops). Further hydrogen bonds mediate the characteristic L-shaped molecular structure. tRNAs have two regions of fundamental functional importance: the anti-codon, which is responsible for specific mRNA codon recognition, and the 3' end, to which the tRNAs corresponding amino acid is attached (by aminoacyl-tRNA synthetases). tRNAs cope with the degeneracy of the genetic code in two manners: having more than one tRNA (with a specific anti-codon) for a particular amino acid; and 'wobble' base-pairing, i.e. permitting non-standard base-pairing at the 3rd anti-codon position. The record is from Rfam by way of RNAcentral. Lineage: Eukaryota; Fungi; Ascomycota; Dothideomycetes; Dothideales; Saccotheciaceae.
GCCGUGGUGGUGCAGUGGUCAGCACACCCGACCUGGUAUCCUACGCUCACUUCCUACGUUCGCUUACCUAAAUUCCUAAUACUCUCGCUCGAGGGUCGGGAGGUCGCUGGUUCGAAUCCGGCCCACGGUG